RNAcentral lists this long non-coding RNA (209 nucleotides) under Elaeis guineensis (African oil palm). RNAcentral's name for it is "long non-coding RNA (EGUI_LNC025316)". Lineage: Eukaryota; Viridiplantae; Streptophyta; Magnoliopsida; Arecales; Arecaceae. The record is from RNAcentral.
GAUUGCCACCCAUACUUCUAGUGCCAACAUAGGCAUUAUGGGUCCCGAUCCUGCCAUUAACUUUUCUGUGGCAUCCAGGCAAGUCAUGCCAUUAGUGCCAUAGGAAUUUCACGGCCUAGUUCUCCCAUCAGCAUGUUCUUAUCUUUUUUUCCUCCCCUGAUUCCCCUUCUAUCAUUCCCAUCACCGUCUAACGAUGCUAAGGAAAGAAA